This 1534-nucleotide ribosomal RNA is filed under the name metagenome. RNAcentral's name for it is "bacterial SSU rRNA". It matches the Rfam family "Bacterial small subunit ribosomal RNA". The record is from RNAcentral.
AGAGUUUGAUUCUGGCUCAGAACGAACGCUGGCAGCGUGGAUUAGGCAUGCAAGUCGAACGAGAAGCUUUAGGUUCAAUUCUUCGGAAAAGUUCCUGAAGUAGACAGUGGCGAAAGGGUGAGUAACGCGUGAGCAAUCUACCCUUAAGUUCGGAACAACCAGGCGAAAGCCUGGCUAAUACCGGAUGUGGUCCCUUGGUGCAAGCCAGGGUGAUUAAAGGCGGGGAUCCUUCGGGACCUGUCGCUUAGGGAGGAGCUCGCGUCCUAUCAGCUUGUUGGUAAGGUAAUGGCUUACCAAGGCUUACGGGUAGCUGGUCUGAGAGGAUGGUCAGCCACACUGGGACUGAGACACUGCCCAGACUCCUACGGGAGGCUGCAGUCGAGGAUCAUUUACAAUGCACGAAAGUGUGAUAAUGCGACGCUGCGUGGAGGAUGAAGGCCUUAGGGUCGUAAACUCCUGUCAUGAGGGAAAAAUUGUUUACGUGCUAAUAACAUGUAGACGUGAUGGUACCUCAAGAGGAAGCCACGGCUAACUCUGUGCCAGCAGCCGCGGUAAUACAGAGUGGCUAGCGUUGUUCGGAUUUACUGGGCGUAAAGGGUGCGUAGGUGGUACUGUAUGUUGGAUGUGAAAUCCCAUGGCUCAACCAUGGAACUGCAUCCAAAACUGCAGAACUAGAGUACAGGAGGGGAGAGCGGAAUUCUUGGUGUAGCGGUGAAAUGCGUUGAUAUCAAGAAGAACACCGGUGGCGAAGGCGGCUCUCUGGAAUGUUACUGACACUGAGGCACGAAAGUUGGGGGAGCAAACAGGAUUAGAUACCCUGGUAGUCCCAACCGUAAACGGUGUCGACUUGGUGUGGGGGGAAUUGACCCCCUCCGUGCCGGAGCUAACGCGUUAUGUCGACCGCCUGGGGAGUACGGCCGCAAGGCUAAAACUCAAAGAAAUUGACGGGGGCCCGCACAAGCGGAGGAGCAUGUGGCUUAAUUCGAUGCAACGCGAAGAACCUUACCAGGGCUUGACAUGGCGACCCUUCGGGGGUGGAGGUGAAAGCCUCCUUUACGAUCACAGGUGCUGCAUGGCUGUCGUCAGUUCGUGCCGUGAGGUGUUUGGUUAAGUCCAGCAACGAACGCAACCCUUGUGGCUGGUUGCCACCGCAGGUGAUGAGCCUGCGAGCACUCUAGCCAGACUGCCCUUGUAAGAGGGAGGAAGGUGGGGACGACGUCAAGUCAGUAUGGCCCUUACGCCCUGGGCUGCACACGUGCUACAAUGGUCGGUACAGAGGGACGCAAUAUCGCGAGAUGGAGCAAAUCCCCAAAGCCGGCCCCAGUUCGGAUUGGAGUCUGAAACUCGACUCCAUGAAGUUGGAUUCGCUAGUAACGGCGUAUCAGCUACGACGCCGUGAAUGCGUUCCCGGGCCUUGUACACACCGCCCGUCACAUCAUGAAAGCCGUCUGCACCCGAAGUCGCUGAUCUAACCCGCAAGGGAGGAAGGCGCCGAAGGUGUGGGUGGUGAUUGGGAUGAAGUCGUAACAAGGUA